This 475-nucleotide long non-coding RNA is filed under the name Equus asinus (donkey). RNAcentral describes it as "lncRNA (ENSEASG00005026554.1)". The record is from RNAcentral. Lineage: Eukaryota; Metazoa; Chordata; Mammalia; Perissodactyla; Equidae.
AUUGGGAUUUCACCCUGCCUCGCUCUCUGGCACAGCCUGUCCACCAGGCCUGCGGAUGUCCGAUCCUGGGUCAUCUGCCUUACCCGCUUGUUCCCUGGCUUCGAACGGAACGGAUGACUUUGCCUCAGGCAUGCUAACCUUCUCCUCCAGAAGCCCACAAUUCGUAUGGGGUGAGAAUUCAUAUGGAGAAACAGAGGAAAGGGAACCUCUGCCACUCCAGUGCAGCCUGACAUUCCUGAGAUGACUCAAGACACAACUAAACAAAUGGUGGUUGGAGAAAAAGAUGUAUAUGUGGGAUUGAAAGAAGAUAGGCAAGAACGAGAACGAGAACAGUCUUACAUGCCAAUCACGGGACGUGGACUUCCUCCUGACACAGUGGGACGAAAACAGUAUAGAGUGUGUUAGUACUCACUCACUUACUUAGUUCAGCCUAAUUCAGGUUCAUACAAAUUCCCCCUUUCCCUGUCUUUAGUGG